Molecule: long non-coding RNA, 651 nt
Organism: Schistocerca gregaria
Lineage: Eukaryota; Metazoa; Arthropoda; Insecta; Orthoptera; Acrididae
Exons: 3
Source: RefSeq, a predicted model, not a curated record
AGUUGUGAAAGAUUUCACCACUAGCUUCGAGCGUGAACGUGUAGAACAGUUACAGGCGCAAGCACAGUCAGAAUUUGUAGUUUAAGAAGGAGACUUUGUAGGGUGCCAGGAGACCUGAGAACGAUAUAAGCAUGGCACUGGUGGUGAAACUCUGGCUGCCACUGUUGGCAACGUUUUUUGCUUGUGCGAUCGCUCGUCCGCAGGUAUUCCCCGGCUUCGCCGUGCACGCUGCCUGCGGCAACAUGUGCGACAAAUUCCAGUGUCCAGUGAACUCCGGGUGUCGGGUGGACGCCUCCAGAUGCAUCCCUAUGCCCGGGAGACCAGGCAUCUGCUGCCCGCCGGCGGUUUGCGAUCCCAGGAGCGACUACAUGUCCAAGCGCCUGUGACACCACUACCCCUGUACACAUUCUUGACAGGCAUUUGACGGUGACAUUACCAGUGCUAUUGUUUUUCGAUUCUUCACUAUACACCUUCCGUACGCAGCCUUUUCGUCUCAAAGAGUUCAAAAUUGUUCACUAGAGAAUUUUUUAAUAUUUAGAUGUUAGUGUAAACAUUUACAUAACUGUUUUUGUUUCUAUAGUAUCUGUCUGUGUUUGAUAUGCAAUUUCAGUUUACUACUAUUAUCUCAAUAAACCAUUUAAGAAUCAGUGA